This 1585-nucleotide long non-coding RNA is filed under the name Salmo salar (Atlantic salmon). RNAcentral describes it as "lncRNA (ENSSSAG00000089597.1)". The record is from RNAcentral. Lineage: Eukaryota; Metazoa; Chordata; Actinopteri; Salmoniformes; Salmonidae.
GUUUGGUAUCAUUCUUUUUUAUUGUUCAGUUAUAUUUUUCAUCCUGCUGUUUAUUUGCAAUGUUUUUCUAUUAUAUUAUGCAUAUGAAGGUGUUUCAAUAAAGGUGCAAACAUUAGCAAACACAUAGAAAGACCAUUUACCGUAAAUAUGGCAUUAAUCGCACCCUUCAGUUUUACCCUACAUGGUCAGGUUGAGAUCGACAAAGGGCCUACCUCCUUGAUGAGAUAUCCAAACACACCGGUACACAUUUAGUCAGGGCUCUUUUUGCCCCCAUACCAUUCAUUGCCUGUAUGCCAUGGACCUGACCUCAUAUCAAUGACCCAACUCUCCAGCACAACUAGUCCUAGUGCUGGUGUCAUUUUCCCCAAAGGAAGACUUAUCAGAGGAGUGAUGGAUAAUUUCUCUCCUUUGUGGAGUAGUACUCCAAUUAAAUGCAAAAUCACCAAUUUACACAAAGAAAAUUCAGGGGGGAACCCGCUUUCAGGCCGGGCCUCCUUCAGCACAGCAGCCAAUCAGAGACUUCUUAGACCUCAUGAUUCCUUGAUUGGCUAAUUUAAACAUAUCUAAAAAUUCUCCUCCAGUGUUGGUUGACCCGAGUCAUGAUGAGUUUAACUGUGAUAAGUAAAGAGAUAAUAAGACAAUAGGAUAUAGGGCAGUGCGUAUAGAUAUUCCCAGCAGUGGAUCCAGAGUCUACAAUGAAUCAGGGCAGUGUAUAACAGAUUCCCAGUAGUGCAACUUAUCACACAGGAAUGCUGAUGUUUAUACAAUGACACAUUGUAUGAUUUGGAUGGUCGAGAAAGCAGUCUGUGCUUUUAGCAGAACUCACAAAAAUCUAGAUUGCUAUAAUAAGUCCCACUGAAAUAUGAAGGACUUCCUGGAUGAUGUCUGAAGGUAUACCUGGGUGUGGAACUCAGGUUAUGAUGACAGCAGUAAGUAUCAUGACAUCAGGGUUUGACCUUUGACCGCUCUCGUUAGCCCUAGCUGUCCCCUCAUUCAGGAUCCUUCAAGUGUGUCCAUCACAUCUCUCACAUUCAAAUCAUUGUCUGGGUCUUUUGAUCAAAUGCUUUUAAGUGUAGCAAACUAUUUUUAAAAAGGAGCACACCAAUAACAAUACUUCCUUUUCAGAAUUUCAUACAAUGUUUCUUGGCGUAAAAAAACAUCUGUGUACCCCUUCACUACUGUACAAUGUGCAGUAUCAGAACUCUACAUGUCCGUCUCACAGAAAGAUUCUGGACAGCGUGACCGCACCCCAGACAUCUUGACCACGGCAUGUGACUGCUCUGUGAGUGCAGGAGAACAGUGGCUGCACUAUCAGCUCAAGUGGCUAACAAUAAUGUUAAACUGUACCAUGUGACCAGCCUAAUGUUGUAAAGGUAGCUAACUCCAUCAAGCCCAACAGAUGACUGGUACUGUGAAGUACAGUGACCCCCCCUACCCCAGUGAUACCCCUUGCCCAUCCCCUUCCCCAUGAGAGCAUCAUAGCAAAUCAGAGAGCAGGAUUCGUGAUACACGCCUAUUCCCCUCUGACGGCAGUGUCUGCAGAAGAGACCCUCGAACCUCCCCGUGCCAAACCCCUGCCUUUACC